AUGCCAAUAAUCUGGAGAUCUUGUUAAGAUUCAGAUUCUUAUUCAGUAGGCCAGGGGCAGAGCCUGAGUUUCAGCAUUUUCUAACAAGCUUCCAAAUUACAUUAAU
Molecule: microRNA precursor, 106 nt
Filed under: Marmota monax (woodchuck)
Lineage: Eukaryota; Metazoa; Chordata; Mammalia; Rodentia; Sciuridae
Source: RNAcentral